GACGAACGCUGGCGGCGUGCUUAACACAUGCAAGUCGAACGGAGAGGCCUUUUCGGAGGUACUCGAGUGGCGAACGGGUGAGUAACACGUGGGUGAUCUGCCCUGCACUCUGGGAUAAGCCUGGGAAACUGGGUCUAAUACCGGAUAGGACCGCACUUUAGUGUGUGUGGUGGAAAGUUUUUUCGGUGUAGGAUGAGCCCGCGGCCUAUCAGCUUGUUGGUGGGGUAAUGGCCUACCAAGGCGGCGACGGGUAGCCGGACUGAGAGGUUGGUCGGCCACAUUGGGACUGAGAUACGGCCCAGACGCCUACGGGAGGCAGCAGUGGGGAAUAUUGCACAAUGGGCGCAAGCCUGAUGCAGCGACGCCGCGUGGGGGAUGACGGCCUUCGGGUUGUAAACUCCUUUCGCCAGGGACGAAGCGUUUUGUGACGGUACCUGGAGAAGAAGCACCGGCUAACUACGUG
Molecule: ribosomal RNA, 463 nt
Filed under: uncultured bacterium
Lineage: Bacteria
Description: partial 16S ribosomal RNA
Rfam family: Bacterial small subunit ribosomal RNA
Source: RNAcentral